UACGGGGGGAGCAAGCGUUGUUCGGAUUUACUGGGCGUAAAGCGUGCGCAGGCGGUUUUGUAAGUCUGUCGUGAAAUCCCCGGGCUCAACCUGGGAAUUGCGAUGGAGACUGCAAGGCUAGAAUCUGGCAGAGGGGGGUAGAAUUCCACGUGUAGCAGUGAAAUGCGUAGAGAUGUGGAGGAACACCGAUGGCGAAGGCAGCCCCCUGGGUCAAGAUUGACGCUCAUGCACGAAAGCGUGAGGAGCAAACAGG
RNAcentral lists this ribosomal RNA (253 nucleotides) under uncultured bacterium. RNAcentral's name for it is "partial 16S ribosomal RNA". It matches the Rfam family "Bacterial small subunit ribosomal RNA", at positions 524 to 776 of the family's 1533-position model. The record is from RNAcentral.